GUGCAUGAGAUGUAUUGUGUUUCUGUGUGUAUGUAAGAAAAGAAGUGUGUGUGUUUGCAUGCGUGUGUACGGGUUUGCAUUGUCUGUUUCUGUGUAUGUGUGCAAAGGAUGCAUUGUCUUUGUGUGUAAGGGUUGCAUUGUGUGUGUGUGUGUAAUGGAUGCAUUGUGUGUUUCUCUGUGUGUAAGGGAAGUAUGUUGUGUUUCUGUGU
This is a non-coding RNA of Pelobates cultripes (western spadefoot toad), 209 nucleotides long. The record is from the annotation of a GenBank genome assembly. Lineage: Eukaryota; Metazoa; Chordata; Amphibia; Anura; Pelobatidae.